Molecule: ribosomal RNA, 253 nt
Filed under: uncultured bacterium
Lineage: Bacteria
Description: partial 16S ribosomal RNA
Rfam family: Bacterial small subunit ribosomal RNA
Source: RNAcentral
UACGUAGGGUGCGAGCGUUGUCCGGAAUUAUUGGGCGUAAAGAGCUCGUAGGCGGUUUGUCGCGUCGACUGUGAAAACCCGAGGCUUAACCUCGGGCCUGCAGUCGAUACGGGCAGACUAGAGUUCGGUAGGGGAGACUGGAAUUCCUGGUGUAGCGGUGAAAUGCGCAGAUAUCAGGAGGAACACCGGUGGCGAAGGCGGUUCUCUGGGCAUUACCUGACGCUGAGGAGCGAAAGUGUGGGGAGCGAACAGG